RNAcentral lists this ribosomal RNA (434 nucleotides) under uncultured Ruminococcus sp. RNAcentral's name for it is "bacterial SSU rRNA". It matches the Rfam family "Bacterial small subunit ribosomal RNA", at positions 341 to 792 of the family's 1533-position model. The record is from RNAcentral. Lineage: Bacteria; Bacillati; Bacillota; Clostridia; Eubacteriales; Oscillospiraceae.
ACGGGAGGCAGCAGUGGGGAAUAUUGCACAAUGGGGGAAACCCUGAUGCAGCGAUGCCGCGUGGAGGAAGAAGGUUUUCGGAUUGUAAACUCCUGUCUUAAGGGACGAUAAUGACGGUACCUUAGGAGGAAGCUCCGGCUAACUACGUGCCAGCAGCCGCGGUAAUACGUAGGGAGCGAGCGUUGUCCGGAAUUACUGGGUGUAAAGGGAGCGUAGGCGGAAUGGCAAGUCAGAUGUGAAAACUAUGGGCUCAACCCAUAGACUGCAUUUGAAACUGUUGUUCUUGAGUGAAGUAGAGGUAAGCGGAAUUCCCAGUGUAGCGGUGAAAUGCGUAGAUAUUGGGAGGAACACCGGUGGCGAAGGCGGUUUACUGGACGACAACUGACGCUGAGACACGAAAGUGCGGGGAGCAAACAGGAUUAGAUACCCUGGUA